This 307-nucleotide unclassified non-coding RNA is filed under the name Hevea brasiliensis (rubber tree). Lineage: Eukaryota; Viridiplantae; Streptophyta; Magnoliopsida; Malpighiales; Euphorbiaceae. The record is from RNAcentral.
UCAUAACACUUUCAAUUAUAACUAAACAUAAGGCCACAUACUUCAUAACAACAUAUAAGGACUCUUUUCUUUACUACAAUCUUAGUCAUAAACCAUUUAGUUCAUAACACUUUCAAUUAUAACUAAACAUAAGGCCACAUACUUCAUAACAACAUAUAAGGACUCUUUUCUUUACUACAAUCUUAGUCAUAAACCAUUUAGUUCAUAUCAUAGGUAAACCACCCUCAUAACCCCUUUAGAAGCUUACUUACAUAAUGUACACAUGGAGUCUCAUACCCCCACAUAUACUAUGUUAACUAACUUAGAA